UUAAACAGAUAUGUUCACUUUCAAGGAGUGUGAAAAUAAAAAUAAAUAAAUUAAUUAAUUAAUAAUAAAAAAUACAGGAAAUGAACUUUUAGCAGAAAAUCAAAGACAAUACUUUAUGCUGCAGUUUUAACAUGGUGAUAUCAGCCUUAAAAUCGUGUUGAAUUUUGUCAUAUCAAGCUGGGAGAAAUCACGUGAGAUCUUUGCUUGUGGCCUCAAAAAGUUUCCUCUUUCAACACACCCAACAUUCCUUCCCCAAAUACUCAAACCAGAACAGCUUCUGCCAGUGUGAUUGCCUUUCCAUAGGGUGAAAAUAGCAUGGGAUCUGUGCAGGCCACAGCUUGCAGCUGGGAAGGCAGCAACUGUCCCUGCAUUUCAAGGCAGGCUGCCAUUUAGGAAGCGGAGCAUCCGCCUGGCUCCAGCUCUGUGGAUCUGGGUGGCCCACGGUAGAAGGAGCAGAAAGCUGAAGGGAAAGCGUGGCUUGGGAGAGGAAGACUGGGGAGGGUGCAGAAGAAAGCAUCAGUGGGGUAGAAGAGGUAGGUGUCACAAGACUGUAAAGUGCUGGAAAGUGAGAUGGAAAAGGAGAAACAAAAAGCGCCAGCUACUCCUCAGUAUGAUCUGCGAGUCCUGUAUUCCUGAGCUUGCCGGCAGACCUGCCCUCAGUGCUGGACAUCUACCUGAGGGCAGCCUGGGAUGCUGCUGGGCUCCUGCUGCUCCUUGGGUGGUGGUUCUGGGGAUUUUGAUCCUGUCAAGGUUCAGAAAUGCUUCUCUAGCUUGGCUUUCCUUUAUCUGUGGCUAUUCAUUUUGUAUCAAGCAAUACAAGGAGGAGGUGAUGUACAGAGUGUGGUGGGUUUUUUUCUUCUUCUUUUUUUUUUUUUUUUUUUUUUUAUUUGUUGAGACUUCCAUAUAGAAGAUGCACAGCACAAUCUAUCAUCAACAAAGCCGUGUGUGUGAUAUGUGCUUUGGCAGAACUGCAUCCUUUCUGAGCUGUCUGGAAAGCAUAUUUUAAAGAAUAUAUUUGAAACAUGCUUAAUUCUGUAUGUCCUGUAUUAUUUUGCAUGUACAUUUUGAUUCUGAUAUGUUGAAAGGGUGAGAUGCUAAGAUGCUUAGAGGAGCAGGCAGUGCUGGAGUUAAUGUUUUUAUUUAUAAGGCUCAUUGGUCAGUGAUACUGAGCUCUCCUCCAGGAAAAAAAGAUCCUCAAUUCACUCUUGCAAAAUUCAAUGCCCUAUUGUUCUCACUUUUCUGAAGUCACUGUUUAUAACAUUGCUCUCUUUUCCCCUCUGAGGAAUAAUAUAAUUUAUUGGAGCAGUUCAUUCAUAGACUAUGUGAUAUCUGUCUUCUGGGACAGAGAUACCUUUUGCAUGAUGUACAUACUGUUAGCUUCAAACUCUUCCUGUUUGCUUUAUGUGAAAGGGUUUGUAAUCAGGAAUAUUUAUGCAUCCUGCUACUCAAUUGUGCUGUGCUUGCUGUUUUCUGCUCUUCAUAGAAAAUUAAUUUUUUUUUUUUUUUGGCUCACACCUACCUGAAAAGCAAAAGAUUUUAGAAUAUUACCCUAUGGAUUUAUGAUUACCAGGCAGAUAGCCAGUAAUAAGCGGUGAUAUCUGAUACUACAGCCCAGACAUACUCUGCUAUUUUCCACCUUUUUUCUAUUAUCUUUAAGUUUAAUAAACUAUAAAUGAAAGAAAUAAAUGGCA
RNAcentral lists this long non-coding RNA (1691 nucleotides) under Anas platyrhynchos platyrhynchos (common mallard). Its description in RNAcentral is "lncRNA (ENSAPLG00000029669.1)". Lineage: Eukaryota; Metazoa; Chordata; Aves; Anseriformes; Anatidae. The record is from RNAcentral.